UGACCAUUAGGCAGCGAAGCCACCCCCCACCUUGUCACGGGACCGAGCGGUCAGCUGGUUGCUGCCAGGGUGGGGGAGGAGCCUUGGCUUGAGUGGCGUAUCCACUCGGCCAAUCAGAGCGCGGAAGAGCUCUGCACCAUUUCUCCCACUCGCCCAUAUAAUCGGAGGCGAGCGGUGAGGAAGGCCGAAUCUCAGUGGAACGAAUGGACAACUGACUUGACCAAUGGAAGCCUUUCCCCUCCCACUGCGUUGGGCGGAGAGGAAUAUCAGGUGAAAAUGCAUGAGCCAGCUGUACCCGUGCCAGCUUGUGUCCAGAAGCCUCACUGGCUUGAUGAAAGGAAUGGGUGGAGUGAUUUUCCAGUUUGUGUUGAGGGAACACCACUCCAUUAUGAAGCCUUCCCAAAAAAUGAAUGUCUAAUCUUCUUAUGACUCUUCUAAGGAAAAAUAAUUUCAGCCUGAAGAACCUGUUAUUAACUCUAUGCAAGUCAGAGAUUUCCUACAGAAAACAAUGGCUGAAGAUUUCUUGUGCACACACUGGAGAAAUUGGUUAUCAUCUGGAGGAUGGAACGUGAGAUCCAUUGAUCUGUUUUUCAGCUCUUUGGGCUAUAAUUUC
This 613-nucleotide long non-coding RNA is filed under the name Gallus gallus (chicken). RNAcentral's name for it is "long non-coding RNA NONGGAT000971". Lineage: Eukaryota; Metazoa; Chordata; Aves; Galliformes; Phasianidae. The record is from RNAcentral.